This 1068-nucleotide long non-coding RNA is filed under the name Anas platyrhynchos (mallard). RNAcentral's name for it is "lncRNA (ENSAPLG00020010172.1)". The record is from RNAcentral. Lineage: Eukaryota; Metazoa; Chordata; Aves; Anseriformes; Anatidae.
UGCCUGGGGGCUGGGACAAAGCAAAACCACAGAAAAGAGGAAGCCCUAAGUACUCCAGCCCAGAACCAGCAGCUGCCCCAGAGUACCUGCGUGGGCAGUCACCAGCCCUGUCUGUGCCGUGCUGCGCUGUGCUGUGCCGCGCCACACCGUGCCGAGCUGCAGUCCAUUCCACAGCUGAGCCCCGCCAGCUGGAGACCUACAGCAGCCCAGCUGUGGGGGAGCCAAAUGCCUCUCUGCCCUGCCUGCCGGGGACUGGAAACCUGGGGCACCUGAAAAUAAAGUACGGGUAUAUGCGGUGCCAAGACAACCAGCUCCCAGACCUUCAUGGCUGGGGAGAGCACCCCAAGCCCAGGGAGAGCACUCCAAGCCAGGUAGGAGCCCUGCCAUCACUGCAGGAGGGUGCUGGGACAAGCGAGGCACGUUUCAGGCAGGACCCUGAUCUGGCCCUGGGUGGGGUUUGGGACUUCCUGAUUGCUCCCAAGGACACCCCAAUGGCUGAUCCAUGAGUGGGUUCAGGGACGGAGCGUUGCUCUGGGGUGUGUGUUCACAGCAUUUCCUGCAGUGACUCCCAGCCAGCUGUGAGGCAGGACUCGGGGUACUCCCUCACUCUUUGGCAUGUGGCCCCAACUUGCAGCCCCCCAGAAAGAACCACAUGUUCCUCCCAGGCUUUGCUGUGGCAAGGCUGGCUGCAUUUCAAGCUCAAAAUGCCCCCCCAGGCAAAGCGAGAAGUGUGGAAUGGGACUGUGCCUCUUUGUCAGAUGGGGAAACUGAGGCACAGAGCAAGUGACAAGGAAAGCAUCCCUUGUGCAUGCAAUUGGGAGUAGUGUUCAUCAGUUGUGACAUGGGGACAGGUGGCUGCUGACUGUUGGCUCUGUACUCCCUCCCCAUCUCCUUCAGCAAUAGCACUGCUUGCCCCUAGAGACUGGGGUCACUGGGGAACACAUGAGGGAGCGUGAUGCAAAUGACACCGAUGCAAAUGACAGCACCAGCUUGGUGUGACAGGGCUGCAACAGCUCCUGCCUCUUCCUACCCUGACAGGUAGCCUCAGGAAAAGUCCUUUUAUCUGUU